This 427-nucleotide ribosomal RNA is filed under the name uncultured bacterium. RNAcentral's name for it is "partial 16S ribosomal RNA". It matches the Rfam family "Bacterial small subunit ribosomal RNA", at positions 355 to 774 of the family's 1533-position model. The record is from RNAcentral.
UGGGGAAUAUUGCACAAUGGGCGCAAGCCUGAUGCAGCCAUGCCGCGUGUAUGAAGAAGGCCUUCGGGUUGUAAAGUACCUUCAGCGGGGAGGAAGGCGAUGCGGUUAAUAACCGCGUCGAUUGACGUUACCCGCAGAAGAAGCACCGGCUAACUCCGUGCCAGCAGCCGCGGUAAUACGGAGGGUGCAAGCGUUAAUCGGAAUUACUGGGCGUAAAGCGCACGCAGGCGGUCUGUCAAGUCGGAUGUGAAAUCCCCGGGCUCAACCUGGGAACUGCAUCCGAAACUGGCAGGCUUGAGUCUCGUAGAGGGGGGUAGAAUUCCAGGUGUAGCGGUGAAAUGCGUAGAGAUCUGGAGGAAUACCGGUGGCGAAGGCGGCCCCCUGGACGAAGACUGACGCUCAGGUGCGAAAGCGUGGGGAGCAAACA